UACGUAGGGGGCGAGCGUUGUCCGGAAUGACUGGGCGUAAAGGGUGCGUAGGCGGCCCGAGAGGUCCUGGGUGAAAGGCCCCGGCUCAACCGGGGAGGGCCCCAGGAAACCGGCGGGCUAGAGGGCUGGAGAGGGCCGCGGAAUUCCCGGUGUAGCGGUGAAAUGCGUAGAUAUCGGGAAGAACACCAGUGGCGAAGGCGACAUACUGGGUCAUGACUGACGCUGAGGCUCGAAAGCGUGGGGAGCAAACAGG
Molecule: ribosomal RNA, 253 nt
Filed under: uncultured bacterium
Lineage: Bacteria
Description: partial 16S ribosomal RNA
Rfam family: Bacterial small subunit ribosomal RNA
Source: RNAcentral